AGCAGCCGCGGUAAUUCCAGCUCCAAUAGCGUAUAUUAAAGUUGUUGCAGUUAAAAAGCUCGUAGUUGAACUUCAGGCCUGUCCAGAUGGUCCGCCUUAAUUGGUGUGUACUGUCCUUGGGUGGGUCCUACCUUCUGGCGAAGCGGCAUGGCCUUAAUUGGUUGUGUCGGGGAAGCAGGACUUUUACUGUGAAAAAAUUAGAGUGUUCAAAGCAGGCAUAUAUGCUCGAAUACAUUAGCAUGGAAUAAUGGAAUAGGACGAUGGUUCUAUUUUGUUGGUUCUAGGACCGUUGUAAUGAUUAAUAGGGAUAGUUGGGGGCAUUAGUAUUCAAUUGUCAGAGGUGAAAUUCUUGGAUUUAUUGAAGACUAACUACUGCGAAAGCAUUUGCCAAGGAUGUUUUCAUUAAUCAAGAACGAAAGUUAGGGGAUCGAAGACGAUCAGAUACCGUCGUAGUCUUAACCAUAAACUAUGCCGACUAGGAAUCGGGCGAUGUUAACAAAAUGACUCGCUCGGCACCUCAUG
This 522-nucleotide ribosomal RNA is filed under the name uncultured Paraglomeraceae. Its description in RNAcentral is "SSU rRNA". It matches the Rfam family "Eukaryotic small subunit ribosomal RNA", at positions 569 to 1092 of the family's 1831-position model. The record is from RNAcentral. Lineage: Eukaryota; Fungi; Glomeromycota; Glomeromycetes; Paraglomerales.